RNAcentral lists this ribosomal RNA (433 nucleotides) under uncultured bacterium. Its description in RNAcentral is "bacterial SSU rRNA". It matches the Rfam family "Bacterial small subunit ribosomal RNA", at positions 355 to 786 of the family's 1533-position model. The record is from RNAcentral.
UGAGGAAUAUUGGUCAAUGGGCGAGAGCCUGAACCAGCCAAGUCGCGUGAGGGAAGACGGUCCUACGGAUUGUAAACCUCUUUUGUCGGGGAGCAAUAAAGCGUACGCGUACGCAGAUGCGAGUACCCGAAGAAAAGCAUCGGCUAACUCCGUGCCAGCAGCCGCGGUAAUACGGAGGAUGCGAGCGUUAUCCGGAUUUAUUGGGUUUAAAGGGUGCGCAGGCGGAAAGUGCAAGUCAGUGGUCAAACGACGGGGCUCAACCCCGUCUCGCCGUUGAAACUGUCUUUCUAGAGUGAGCGAGAAGUAUGCGGAAUGCGUGGUGUAGCGGUGAAAUGCAUAGAUAUCACGCAGAACUCCGAUUGCGAAGGCAGCAUACCGGCGCUCAACUGACGCUCAUGCACGAAAGCGUGGGUAUCGAACAGGAUUAGAUACC